Molecule: ribosomal RNA, 990 nt
Filed under: Triticum aestivum (bread wheat)
Lineage: Eukaryota; Viridiplantae; Streptophyta; Magnoliopsida; Poales; Poaceae
Description: partial small subunit ribosomal RNA
Source: RNAcentral
AUGUGGUCACUUCUAAUUCGGAAAUCUUGUGAUCUUGGAACUUGCUUUGCUGACUUGGAGAAGCAGCAGAUUCAACUGAACCUUGACUUGGAGCUGGCCAGGACAGAGCUGCAAAAGGUCAGAGACGGCGCUGUAGAAAAACUGAGAGAAGCUCUGGCGAAGAAGGAUCAGGAUUUGGCCACUGCUCGUAAGGAGGCUGACGACAAGACCGCUCUGGCCGAACAGAAGCUGGCUUCAGUCGGCCAGUUGGAAGAAGAGAAUACCAGGCUGAAGACCGCUCUGAUUGACUCCAACAAGGAGUGCUCGUGCUGGAAGAAGGCGAAUCUCGUCCACGGUGAGAAAAUGGAAGGCAUUGCUCGCAGGAGGGAUGAUCUGGAGAGUUAUCUGAGAAGUCUUGCCAAGAAGCUGUUCAUCAAGCUUGAAGGUGCACAUUCUGUUCUGACUGACUUUUUUUUGAGUCGACUCAGUGUACGAAAAUUGACUUAUCCUUGGAUCGUGAAUGCAGAGUUUUGCCAGAACUUUGAAGAGGAGACUGGGCGGAUCGAGCCUGGUUUGGAUCCAAUCAACUCUCCCGUGAAAGAUGAAACUGCCAUGAAUCUGCUCCGUCUGGAAUCUCGCAUCGACAGUGCCGUGGACUACUUGGCUCGACUGAAGGUCACCAUGUCGUGGAUUGACCCGGCACUUUGGCCAGAGGCUGAGCUCCAAAAUGAUAUUGAGUCCCUGAUGACUCGACUAAAUGAAAUCCCCGACCGAGUGCAGGAGUGGAAGAAGUCUGCUGCUCGGUGUGGCGCUGACGUGGCUCUGUCUUUGGUUCGUGUCCACUGCAAGGAGGUGCGACAGGACAAACUGGCAGCAAUCAAGGUCGCCAACACCCAGAAGCAUGACUUCCGAACCUUUAUGGAGACUUUCAUCGCUGCAGCCACUCGGAUAGCCGAUGGCGUCGACCUGGAUGAGUUCGUCGAGCCUGCCAGCCCUCCUCCCGCGGAGUGA